UCCAUGGUACCUCCUAACUACGCUGUUUACA
RNAcentral lists this non-coding RNA (31 nucleotides) under Homo sapiens (human). Lineage: Eukaryota; Metazoa; Chordata; Mammalia; Primates; Hominidae. The record is from RNAcentral.